This 785-nucleotide ribosomal RNA is filed under the name uncultured bacterium. RNAcentral's name for it is "bacterial SSU rRNA". It matches the Rfam family "Bacterial small subunit ribosomal RNA", at positions 1 to 803 of the family's 1533-position model. The record is from RNAcentral.
CUUAGAGUUUGAUCCUGGCUCAAGACGACCUUUGGCGGCGCGCCUAACACAUGCAAGUCGAACGGAGCUUAGAGAGCUUGCUUUUUAAGCUUAGUGGCGAACGGGUGAGUAACGCGUGAGUAACCUGCCCUAGAGUGGGGGACAACAGUUGGAAACGACUGCUAAUACCGCAUAAGCCCACGGUACCGCAUGGUACUGAGGGAAAAGGAUUUAUUCGCUUUAGGAUGGACUCGCGUCCAAUUAGCUAGUUGGUGAGGUAACGGCCCACCAAGGCGACGAUUGGUAGCCGGACUGAGAGGUUGAACGGCCACAUUGGGACUGAGACACGGCCCACACUCCUACGGGAGGCAGCAGUGGGGGAUAUUGCACAAUGGGGGAAACCCUGAUGCAGCGACGCCGCGUGGAGGAAGAAGGUUUUCGGAUUGUAAACUCCUGUCGUUAGGGACGAUAAUGACGGUACCUAACAAGAAAGCACCGGCUAACUACGUGCCAGCAGCCGCGGUAAAACGUAGGGUGCAAGCGUUGUCCGGAAUUACUGGGUGUAAAGGGAGCGCAGGCGGGAAGACAAGUUGGAAGUGAAAACCAUGGGCUCAACCCAUGAAUUGCUUUCAAAACUGUUUUUCUUGAGUAGUGCAGAGGUAGAUGGAAUUCCCGGUGUAGCGGUGGAAUGCGUAGAUAUCGGGAGGAACACCAGUGGCGAAGGCGGUCUACUGGGCACCAACUGACGCUGAGGCUCGAAAGCAUGGGUAGCAAACAGGAUUAGAUACCCUGGUAGUCCAUGCCGU